CCUUUUGGUUGUAGAUUGUGGGCGACCACCAUUCUACGGCUAAUUCAACCCUUGAUUUUUAAGUACUUCUUGUUUCCUUGGUGGGGAAACCCACCAUAGGACCUUUCCAAACUCUUUGUAAUUGAAAUCAGCGUCAGUAAACUUGAAUUAUUA
RNAcentral lists this unclassified non-coding RNA (153 nucleotides) under uncultured fungus. Its description in RNAcentral is "sequence contains ITS1". Lineage: Eukaryota; Fungi. The record is from RNAcentral.